UUCGAUCCUUGGAAUUACCCAAAGUGAAAAACAACAUGUCAACCAGACGCAAAUGCUUCGUCAGGAAUCAAUAUAAGGAAAGGUCCCCCAUAGUGUCUCUACCCUCAACUCAACUUGGAGGUUUGUGUGACAUAAAAUGGAAAUUGAAAUAAAGGAACUAAUCGAA
Long non-coding RNA from Pecten maximus, 166 nucleotides. RefSeq lists it as uncharacterized. NCBI's taxonomy places the organism in Eukaryota, Metazoa, Mollusca, Bivalvia, Pectinida, Pectinidae. The record is from RefSeq and is a predicted model, not a curated record. The transcript has 2 exons.